GACAGCAGUCGCCGCGGUAAUACAGAGGGUGCAAGCGUUAAUCGGAAUUACUGGGCGUAAAGCGCGCGUAGGUGGUUUGUUAAGUUGGAUGUGAAAGCCCCGGGCUCAACCUGGGAACUGCAUCCAAAACUGGCAAGCUAGAGUACGGUAGAGGGUGGUGGAAUUUCCUGUGUAGCGGUGAAAUGCGUAGAUAUAGGAAGGAACACCAGUGGCGAAGGCGACCACCUGGACUGAUACUGACACUGAGGUGCGAAAGCGUGGGGAGCAAACAGGAUUAGAUACCCCGGUAGUCCCUGUCUCUUAUAC
Molecule: ribosomal RNA, 306 nt
Filed under: uncultured bacterium
Lineage: Bacteria
Description: partial 16S ribosomal RNA
Rfam family: Bacterial small subunit ribosomal RNA
Source: RNAcentral